Molecule: non-coding RNA, 979 nt
Organism: Cinara cedri
Lineage: Eukaryota; Metazoa; Arthropoda; Insecta; Hemiptera; Aphididae
Source: the annotation of a GenBank genome assembly
CCCUGCUGAUUAAAAUAUAAAACUUUUUUGUCAAACAAAUUUUAUUUUUAUAAAUACGAUUCUAUAGUACAAUAGGAAUGUGAUAAAAGAUUGAAUAGUUUGACGGAGAGACUUCAUGAGAGUCUACAGAUAAUAAAAAAAAUUGUUAUGAAUCGACUUCUUGAGUGUAAUGGAAAAGUCGCAGAUAAAGUUAAAAACAAAAUCUCUGGUAUAACAAAAAUAUAAAGGAUUUGAAACUCUACAAUCAAUAAAUAAAAUAUUAAAUGGCAAAUCGGACGAGAACAAUUUCAGUUGUAAUUUAACACUAGGACAAAUUUCUUUAUUUAAAUAUGCGCUAACUACAUCAUGUGACAUUGAACGGAGCUUCAGUCAGUAUAAAUCAAUACUACGAUCCAAUCGCUGAUAUUUUAUAUUCAAAAAUUUAAAAAAAUAUGUUGUCGUAGCAUGUAACACGUAUUUCCACUAUUGAAUGUGAAUUAUAAAUUUUAUUUCCAAAUUAUUUUAUUUUUUCAUUAAUAUUAUAUUAAGACAAACAGCCAAUCACUAAUGUAUUUCAAUAAAUACAUAUUUUCUUAUAACAAUUCAAAUGUAUAUUUUUGUAAACAAAAUGUAUAUUUUACAAUGUUUUAUUGCAUACAAAUCCUAGUCCUGAUAAUUAGAUUAGAUUCAAGCUGGUUCAUAAAUAUGUAUAGAUUAUUUACUUUGAGGCUUAUGAAAUUACUUCCCUAUCAUUUAGUAAACCUGAGUCAUGGGUAAUACAUACCCUUUAAAGGCACUAAUUUAUAAAAGUCAAUCAAAAACAACCAAAUGAUAAUCUGUGUAUCAAUUCUAGAAAAACUAGUUUGUUUAAAUUUUUUCAACCCUGUAGGCUGUAAAACAAUAAGCACACUAAUUGUCUAUACUAGAAUAAUGUAUAGAUUAUACAAUUUUUAUUGAAAUAAUAAGAAAUAAAUAAUGUCUACAUUUUUCAAUACAAAUU